This 465-nucleotide ribosomal RNA is filed under the name uncultured Klebsiella sp. RNAcentral's name for it is "bacterial SSU rRNA". It matches the Rfam family "Bacterial small subunit ribosomal RNA", at positions 338 to 795 of the family's 1533-position model. The record is from RNAcentral. Lineage: Bacteria; Pseudomonadati; Pseudomonadota; Gammaproteobacteria; Enterobacterales; Enterobacteriaceae.
CCUACGGGAGGCAGCAGUGGGGAAUAUUGCACAAUGGGCGCAAGCCUGAUGCAGCCAUGCCGCGUGUGUGAAGAAGGCCUUCGGGUUGUAAAGCACUUUCAGCGGGGAGGAAGGCGGUGAGGUUAAUAACCUCAUCGAUUGACGUUACCCGCAGAAGAAGCACCGGCUAACUCCGUGCCAGCAGCCGCGGUAAUACGGAGGGUGCAAGCGUUAAUCGGAAUUACUGGGCGUAAAGCGCACGCAGGCGGUCUGUCAAGUCGGAUGUGAAAUCCCCGGACUCAACCUGGGAACUGCAUUCGAAACUGGCAGGCUAGAGUCUUGUAGAGGGGGGUAGAAUUCCAGGUGUAGCGGUGAAAUGCGUAGAGAUCUGGAGGAAUACCGGUGGCGAAGGCGGCCCCCUGGACAAAGACUGACGCUCAGGUGCGAAAGCGUGGGGAGCAAACAGGAUUAGAUACCCGAGUAGUC